UUCACCCCAAAUCUCAAAAUAUCAUAAAAAUCCAAUCUUUACUCAAAAUUCAGUCCAACUUUUCAUCAUAUCCCCAAGAAAACUAGCAUACUUAGUUAAAAAUCAUAUUUUGCCAAAACUCAAGUAAAGCCAUCACAAAAAAUUUCAAACCCCAACAAAUAUCUUCACCCCAAAUCUCAUAACAUCAUAAAAAUCCAAUCUUUACUUAAAACUCACUCCAAUUUCUCAUCAUAUUCCCAAGAAAACCAUCAAACUUGUUGAAAAAUCAUAUUUUUCCAAAACCCCAAGUAAAGAAAACCACCACUAAUACUCAAGAAAUCAAAGAUCAAUCUCACCCAUAACAAUAAUUCCACAAGAAAAUGUCAGAAGAGAACCAAUAAGAGAUUUACUACUGAAAUUUAGUACCAAGAUUGUGUUUAACCAAGACAGUAUAGAUCAGAUAAGACAAAAUCCAAGAACAACAAUAGGGAACAUCCCACAUGGAGUAUUAAAAUCUGCUGAGAUGCAAAAAAGGGAAAAAGAUAGUAAGUAGUAAAA
This 537-nucleotide long non-coding RNA is filed under the name Solanum tuberosum (potato). RNAcentral describes it as "long non-coding RNA (STUB_LNC009415)". Lineage: Eukaryota; Viridiplantae; Streptophyta; Magnoliopsida; Solanales; Solanaceae. The record is from RNAcentral.